RNAcentral lists this transfer RNA (64 nucleotides) under Cichlidogyrus mbirizei. Its description in RNAcentral is "tRNA-Lys". Lineage: Eukaryota; Metazoa; Platyhelminthes; Monogenea; Dactylogyridea; Ancyrocephalidae. The record is from RNAcentral.
CCCGCCGUAGCUUAUGUUAAAGCACUUGAUUCUUACUCACGGGAAGUCUUUUAGACUGGCAGGA